UACGAAGGGUGCGAGCGUUAAUCGGAAUUACUGGGCGUAAAGCGUGCGCAGGCGGUUAUGUAAGACAGAGGUGAAAUCCCCGGGCUCAACCUGGGAACUGCCUUUGUGAACGCAUGACUAGAGUACGGCAGAGGGGGAUGGAAUUCCGCGUGUAGCAGUGAAAUGCGUAGAUAUGCGGAGGAACACCGAUGGCGAAGGCAAUCCCCUGGGCCUGUACUGACGCUCAUGCACGAAAGCGUGGGGAGCAAACAGG
RNAcentral lists this ribosomal RNA (253 nucleotides) under uncultured bacterium. RNAcentral describes it as "partial 16S ribosomal RNA". It matches the Rfam family "Bacterial small subunit ribosomal RNA", at positions 524 to 776 of the family's 1533-position model. The record is from RNAcentral.